This 253-nucleotide ribosomal RNA is filed under the name uncultured bacterium. Its description in RNAcentral is "partial 16S ribosomal RNA". It matches the Rfam family "Bacterial small subunit ribosomal RNA", at positions 524 to 776 of the family's 1533-position model. The record is from RNAcentral.
UACGGGGGGUGCAAGCGUUGUCCGGAAUCACUGGGCGUAAAGGGCGCGUAGGUGGUGUCGUAAGUCUGUGGUGAAAGCCCGGGGCUCAACCCCGGGUCUGCCGCGGAGACUGCGAGACUCGAGUACUGUAGGGGCUGGUAGAAUGCCGGGUGUAGCGGUGGAAUGCGUAGAGAUCCGGCAGAAGACCGGUGGCGAAGGCGGCCAGCUGGGCAGUGACUGACACUGAGGCGCGACAGCGUGGGGAGCAAACAGG